GGCGCUAUCGUCUAGUGGACUAGGACGCCAGGUUUUCAUCCUGGAAACAGGGGUUCAAUUCCCCUUGGCGCUACCA
Molecule: transfer RNA, 76 nt
Filed under: Candidatus Berkelbacteria bacterium CG_4_10_14_0_2_um_filter_35_9_33_12
Lineage: Bacteria; Candidatus Berkelbacteria
Also listed under: 3 other names
Description: tRNA-Glu
Rfam family: tRNA
About the family: Transfer RNA (tRNA) molecules are approximately 80 nucleotides in length.
Source: RNAcentral